UAAAGUGAACAUUGAUUGGUUAAAUAUUUCUCAGUGUGUUUGAAUUUGUUUGAUAGCCUUUUGGUCAUGACUGUUUGUCUCUAAUAUUUAAUUAACUGUGCAUUUGUAUUCAGAUAUCGCAGAUCAAAUUUAUUCGUUCUUUGUGUAAUCAUACGUUUUUUGAUUGAGUUAAGUCUGCUAAUUGAUAUUUUAUCGUAUGUUUUUAUAUGUUGUGAUGUUAUGCUAUUGUUUCAGAAA
This 237-nucleotide long non-coding RNA is filed under the name Mytilus galloprovincialis (Mediterranean mussel). The record is from RNAcentral. Lineage: Eukaryota; Metazoa; Mollusca; Bivalvia; Mytilida; Mytilidae.